CUACGGGUCGCUCCAGUGAGGAAUAUUGCACAAUGGGGGGAACCCUGAUGCAGCAACGCCGCGUGGAGGAUGACGCAUUUCGGUGUGUAAACUCCUUUUAUAUGUCAAGAAAAUGACGGUAGCAUAUGAAUAAGCACCGGCUAACUCCGUGCCAGCAGCCGCGGUAAUACGGAGGGUGCAAGCGUUACUCGGAAUCACUGGGCGUAAAGGACGCGUAGGCGGGUUGGAAAGUCAGGUGUGAAAUCCUACAGCUUAACUGUGGAACUGCACUUGAAACUUCUAAUCUAGAGCAUGGGAGGGGGAGAUGGAAUUAGUGGUGUAGGGGUAAAAUCCGUAGAUAUCACUAGGAAUACCUAAAGCGAAGGCGAUCUCCUGGAACAUUACUGACGCUAAGGCGUGAAAGCGUGGGGAGCAAACAGGAUUAGAUACCCGAGUAGUC
Molecule: ribosomal RNA, 439 nt
Filed under: uncultured bacterium
Lineage: Bacteria
Description: partial 16S ribosomal RNA
Rfam family: Bacterial small subunit ribosomal RNA
Source: RNAcentral